RNAcentral lists this ribosomal RNA (403 nucleotides) under Verrucomicrobiota bacterium. RNAcentral describes it as "Verrucomicrobia bacterium partial 16S ribosomal RNA". It matches the Rfam family "Bacterial small subunit ribosomal RNA", at positions 355 to 776 of the family's 1533-position model. The record is from RNAcentral. Lineage: Bacteria; Pseudomonadati; Verrucomicrobiota.
UGGGGAAUAUUGCACAAUGGGGGAAACCCUGAUGCAGCGACGCCGCGUGAGCGAAGAAGGUUUUCGAAUCGUAAAGCUCUGUCCUAUGAGAAGAUAAUGACGGUAUCAUAGGAGGAAGCCCCGGCUAAAUACGUGCCAGCAGCCGCGGUAAUACGUAUGGGGCGAGCGUUGUCCGGAAUUAUUGGGCGUAAAGGGUACGUAGGCGGUCUAUUAAGUCAGGUGUGAAAGCGUGAGGCUUAACCUCAUUAAGCACUUGAAACUGAUAGACUUGAGUGAAGGAGAGGAAAGUGGAAUUCCUAGUGUAGCGGUGAAAUGCGUAGAUAUUAGGAGGGAUACCGGUGGCGAAGGCGACUUUCUGGACUUUUACUGACGCUCAGGUACGAAAGCGUGGGGAGCAAACAGG